GGCGGCCAAGGGCUCGGCGGCAGGAAGCGGACGCUCGCCGGCUCCGGCCCUCGGCUCUGCGGGCCCACGGGGGGCGCGGGUGACUUUUGCCCGCCGUGAAGGGUGUGACUGCCCGGCUCGUGCUAGGAGGAUGUUCUCCGGUGGAAAAUCAGAGAAAUGAAUGAGAGUUGACACUGAGUGGGCCUUCUUCACAAUACCUGCUUUUGACUGGUUGGUUUGAGUUGCAGUCUUCCUAAGCCAAUAUCCAACACCAUCACUCAAGUCAAACAGUAAAUGCAGCCGACAAUCUGUGGACCUGGGUGAUCGUAUAUUGUUCUGUCAUGCCUGUGGCAUCAUCAAUAGCAGCUCUCAACAUGGAGCCCCUUUAAACAGCGACUCUAUUAAAUAAAACAUGAUGGAUCACACUCUACAUUUGCAUGCCAGCUAAAACACGGUCAAGGCUCUGCUAAAACAGAGAGGAUCCUGCCCUUGCCUGAACAUGAUGGAGGCGAAAUGGAGGGAGCACUAUUUGACAUAAAUGAAGACAAGGACAAUGAUCAAGUCUGAAAGAGAAUUAAUUGAAAAGGAGUAGCCGACUCUGAUCUCCAGAUUGAGCUUCUGAGGAGGAUUUGGGGAAGCCAGAAAGAACAGAUCCCAGGUAGCUGUUGGUCCAAGGAAAACAAAAGAUGAGUGGAGCUGACCUGAACCUGACCUGCACUGUGAAGUGGAACUUGCCCAGGCUACUCUCAGGUCUAUAAGAAAACAAAUGAAU
Molecule: long non-coding RNA, 751 nt
Organism: Canis lupus familiaris (dog)
Lineage: Eukaryota; Metazoa; Chordata; Mammalia; Carnivora; Canidae
Exons: 6
Source: RefSeq, a predicted model, not a curated record